UUUAAAGAUAGCGUAACAGCUCACUGGUCUAAACAAGUUGUCCUGCGGCGAAGAUGUAACGGGGCUCAAGCCAUGAGCCGAAGCUUAGGAUGCACGUAGUGCAUGGUAGCAGAGCGUAGUGUGACAUAAUUCCAUGCGUCCUUAAUCCCUUCGGGGAUAUUGGACGCAAGGAAUUUUCUGUGAAGCCGGCCUGUGAGGGAUCCGGUGGAGAGAUCACUAGUGAGAAUGAUGACAUGAGUAGCGACAAAGAGUGUGAGAGACACUCUCGCCGAAAGUCCAAGGGUUCCUGCUUAAAGCUAAUCUGAGCAGGGUAAGCCGACCCCUAAGGCGAGGCCGAAAGGCGUAGUCGAUGGGAACCAGGUUAAUAUUCCUGGGCCAGGAGGAUGUGACGGAUCUCGAAGGUUGUUUCCCCUUAUCGGAUUGGGGAGGCCGCUUAGAGGUUCCUGGAAAUAGCCCUCCGCUAGAUCGUACCCUAAACCGACACAGGUGGACUGGUAGAGCAUACCAAGGCGCUUGAGAGAACUAUGCUGAAGGAACUCGGCAAAUUGCUCCCGUAAGUUCGCGAGAAGGGAGCCUCUGCAUUGGGCAACCAGUGUGGAGGGGCACAGACCAGGGGGUGGCGACUGUUUACUAAAAACACAGGA
RNAcentral lists this ribosomal RNA (644 nucleotides) under Heterosigma akashiwo. Its description in RNAcentral is "partial Bacterial large subunit ribosomal RNA". It matches the Rfam family "Bacterial large subunit ribosomal RNA", at positions 1122 to 1820 of the family's 2925-position model. The record is from RNAcentral. Lineage: Eukaryota; Raphidophyceae; Chattonellales; Chattonellaceae.